CCGAGCCAGAACCAGCCGUUCUCGUCGACUUGGUCGUCGUCUCGUGCAUAUAGUGGCCUCAGCUCUCGAGCGAAUACGGCACUCAUACACUUGCACACACACACACACGCGCGCUCACACGGAGAGCCUACGGCUGCCGCCAUUUCGUGCUUCUUUCUCGCGGUCGCUGGCUUGUGUGUGCUGCGCUGUUGCGCUCGUAAAGUGAAAAAUAAACUCUCAUCGAACCCGUGGACCAAAGUGUUUUAACGUUGGUGCGGUCAAAAGUGAUGGAGGAAAAAUAAAAAAAAUAAAAAGUAGAUAGUACUGCUAGUGCAUCAGCAUCAUCGACUGUGUAGUGGAGUACAGAGUUGUACGUCGCAUCGAGUGGGAUAUAUAAAUAUACAUAUAUAUAUAAUAUGUACGUGUAGAUCCCAUCGCUCGUCACCUUGUCUGUGAUCUGGGCACCUACACCAGCGAAAGGAGGCGCUAAACGAUACAGCGACACACCGAAGAAGUGACGAGGAAAAAAAUUUAAAAAAAAGAAUAAUACAGAGAGCAAGAGAGAGAGACGUAUACGCUAAAGAAAACAGUGUACAAUAUAACGUAGUAUAUAUAUAUAUAUGUGUGUGUGUGAAGGGGAGCUCGGCGAUGACAAAGCCGGGACUCGUGCUAGCGUCGUCUACCGCGGCGGGAUGGCGAUGAUGAGGUCCCCAGCUGCGGAAAACGCAAAUCUCGCGAUUUGCUUGCAGAGCUGAAAUCAAGAGGACGGCCCCGCCCGAUUGGGAGUGUGAAAAAUAAACCAGCGGAGCAGCCAAGUCGAAGAUAAUAACAAGAAGUACAGUGUACGAAAGUGUACAGUGCGCGAUUUGUGUGUAAAUAAUAAUAGUAAAAAAAAAAAAAAAAAA
This is a long non-coding RNA of Copidosoma floridanum, 884 nucleotides long. NCBI's taxonomy places the organism in Eukaryota, Metazoa, Arthropoda, Insecta, Hymenoptera, Encyrtidae. The record is from RefSeq and is a predicted model, not a curated record.